GAUGAACGCUGGCGGCGUGCCUAAUACAUGCAAGUCGAGCGAACAGACGAGGAGCUUGCUCCUCUGACGUUAGCGGCGGACGGGUGAGUAACACGUGGAUAACCUACCUAUAAGACUGGGAUAACUUCGGGAAACCGGAGCUAAUACCGGAUAAUAUAUUGAACCGCAUGGUUUAAUAGUGAAAGACGGUUUUGCUGUCACUUAUAGAUGGAUCCGCGCGGCAUUAGCUAGUUGGUAAGGUAACGGCUUACCAAGGCAACGAUGCGUAGCCGACCUGAGAGGGUGAUCGGCCACACUGGAACUGAGACACGGUCCAGACUCCUACGGGAGGCAGCAGUAGGGAAUCUUCCGCAAUGGGCGAAAGCCUGACGGAGCAACGCCGCGUGAGUGAUGAAGGUCUUCGGAUCGUAAAACUCUGUUAUUAGGGAAGAACAAAUGUGUAAGUAACUAUGCACGUCUUGACGGUACCUAAUCAGAAAGCCACGGCUAACUACGUG
This 497-nucleotide ribosomal RNA is filed under the name uncultured bacterium. RNAcentral's name for it is "partial 16S ribosomal RNA". It matches the Rfam family "Bacterial small subunit ribosomal RNA", at positions 28 to 507 of the family's 1533-position model. The record is from RNAcentral.